GACGAACGCUGGCGGCGUGCUUAACACAUGCAAGUCGUACGGUAAGGCCCUUUCGGGGGUCCACGAGUGGCGAACGGGUGAGUAACACGUGAGUAACCUGCCCACAACUUUGGGAUAACGCUAGGAAACUGGUGCUAAUACUGGAUAUGUACUACUGCUGCAUGGUGGGGGUUGGAAAGCUCCGGCGGUUGUGGAUGGACUCGCGGCCUUUCAGCUUGUUGGUGGGGUAGUGGCCUACCAAGGCGGCGACGGGUAGCCGGCCUGGGAGGGUGACCGGCCACAAUGGGACUGGGGUACGGCCCAGACCCCUACGGGGGGCAGCAGGGGGGAAUAUUUCCAAAUGGGCGCAAGCCCGGUGCAGCAACGCCGCGGGCGGGAUGACGGGCCUCGGGUUGUAAACCGCUUUCAGCAGGGACGAAGCUUUGUGUGACGGUACCUGCAGAAGAAGCACCGGCUAACUACGUG
Molecule: ribosomal RNA, 465 nt
Filed under: uncultured bacterium
Lineage: Bacteria
Description: partial 16S ribosomal RNA
Rfam family: Bacterial small subunit ribosomal RNA
Source: RNAcentral